This 1309-nucleotide ribosomal RNA is filed under the name Tamarixia radiata. RNAcentral's name for it is "16S ribosomal RNA". Lineage: Eukaryota; Metazoa; Arthropoda; Insecta; Hymenoptera; Eulophidae. The record is from RNAcentral.
UUAAAGAAAAUAAAUAAUAUUUAUUCUUAAAAAUAAUUUUUAUAAAAAAAAUAAUUUUAAAUUUUUAUUAAUAAGUAAAUUAUAUUAAAAUUAUAUUUAUUUUAUUAAAGUAUUGUAAAAGAAAUUUUUAUAAUUAUAAAUUUAAAUUUAAUUAAUUUAUACCUUUUGUAUCAGGGUAAUUUAAAAUAAUAUUAAUAAUAAUAAUUAUCUCGAAAUAAAUUGAAUUAAUUUAUUAUUAUAUAUAUUAUGUAAUUAAUAUUAUUAAUAAUAAUUUAGAAAAAAAAUUUUAUUCAAAAUUUAUAAUAUCUAGUUAUUUUAUAAAUAAAUUUAAUUUAUUAUAAUAAAUAAUAUAAAUAAUAUUUAUAUUAUAUAUAUUUUUAUUAUUAAAAAUUAUUAGAGAUUAAUUUAAUAAUUAUAUUAAUAUAAUAAAUUAAAAUUUUUUAUUAUAAUAAAAUUUAAAAUUUUUAUUAAUAAUUAAUUUAUAAUAAUUAAUAAAUAUAAAAUUUAAUUUAAUAAUAAUUAUUUAAAAUUUAUAAAAUUAAUUAUAUUAAUAAUUAAUAUAAUUUAAUAAUGAUUUAAUUAGUAAAACUUUAUAUAAUAAAAUUUAAAUUAAAAUAAAUAUUAAAUUAAUGAAUUCAGCAAUAAUUUUAUUCAACUGUUUAAUAAAAACAUAGUUUAAAGAUUAAUAAUUUUAAAUAUAAUCUGCUCAAUGAAAUUUUUAAAUAGCUGCAGUAUCUUAACUGUACAAAGGUAGCAUAAUCAUUUGUCUUUUUAAUGAAGUCUAGAAUGAAAGAUUUAAUGAAAUAAAAACUUUAUAAAUUUAAUUAAAUUUAAACUUAAUUUUAAAUAAAAAUUUUUAAAUAUAAUUAAAAGACGAGAAGACCCUAUAGAAUUUUAUAUAAAUUAAUAAAAUUAUUUUUAUUAAUAUUUUAAUAUUAUUAAUUAUAUUUUAUUGGGGUAAUAAUAAAAUUUAUAAAAUUUUUAUUUUAUUAAACAAAUUUAUUUGAAAUUAAAUAUCCAAUUAUAUUGAAAUUAAUUUAAAUUACCUUAGGGAUAACAGCGUAAUAAUUUUAAAGAGAUCAUAUUGAAAAAAUUGUUUGCGACCUCGAUGUUGAAUUAAGAUAAAAUAUUUAUGAAGAUAUAAAUUAUUUUUAGUCUGUUCGACUAUUAAAAUCUUACAUGAUUUGAGUUUAGAUCGGCGUAAGCCAGAUCGGAUUCUAUCUUUAAUAAUUUAUAAUAUUUUUGUACGAAAGGACUUUAUAUUAAUAUAAUAUAUUAUUUAAAUUGAAUAUUAUUAAAUUGAUUAAAA